Non-coding RNA from Meloidogyne enterolobii, 1798 nucleotides. The record is from the annotation of a GenBank genome assembly. Lineage: Eukaryota; Metazoa; Nematoda; Chromadorea; Rhabditida; Meloidogynidae.
AAAGAUAUCUGGUUGAUCCUGCCUGAACUGAUGUGUUCAUUUCAAAGAUUAAGCCAUGCAUGUAUAAGUUUAAUCGUUUUAACGAGAAACCGCGAACGGCUCAUUACAAUGGCCAUGAUUUACUUGAUCUUGAUUAUCUAAAUGGAUAACUGUGGAAAAGCUAGAGCUAAUACAUGCACCAGAGCUUUGUCCUCUCGGAAAAGCGCAUUUAUUAGAACAAAACCACGCGGCUUCGGCUGCUUCUUGUUGACUCAGAAUAACUAAGCUGACCGCAUGGCCUUGUGCCGGCGGCGUGUCUUUCAAGCGUCCACUUUAUCAACUUGACGGGAGCAUAAUCGACUCCCGUGGUGGUGACGGAUAACGGAGGAUCAGGGUUCGACUCCGGAGAAGGGGCCUGAGAAAUGGCCACUACGUCUAAGGAUGGCAGCAGGCGCGCAAAUUACCCACUCUCGGCUCGAGGAGGUAGUGACGAGAAAUAACGAGACUGUUCUCUUUGAGGCCGGUCAUCGGAAUGGGUACAAUUUAAACCCUUUAACGAGUAUCAAGCAGAGGGCAAGUCUGGUGCCAGCAGCCGCGGUAAUUCCAGCUCUGCUAAUACAUAGAAUUAUUGCUGCGGUUAAAAAGCUCGUAGUUGGAUUCGUAUCGGUACCUUGGAACCCUUCGGGUGUUUCUGGGUGUUAUCGAUUUAUCGUAAUGUUCGGUUUUGAGUCCUUAACAGGAUUUUUAACAGUCAUUGCAAGUUUACUUUGAACAAAUCAGAGUGCUUCAAACAGGCGUUUUCGCUUGAAUGAUUGUGCAUGGAAUAAUAGAAAACGAUUUCGGUUCAGUUUUAUUGGUUUUACGGACUGAGAUAAUGGUUAACAGAGACAAACGGGGGCAUUUGUAUGGCCCCGUGAGAGGUGAAAUUCUUGGACCGUGGCCGGACAAACUACAGCGAAAGCAUUUGCCAAGAAUGUCUUCAUUAAUCAAGAACGAAAGUCAGAGGUUCGAAGGCGAUCAGAUACCGCCCUAGUUCUGACCGUAAACGAUGCCAACUAGCGAUCCGCUGAUGGAAAUUAUAUUGCCUUGGUGGGGAGCUUCCCGGAAACGAAAGUCUUCCGGUUCCGGGGGAAGUAUGGUUGCAAAGCUGAAACUUAAAGGAAUUGACGGAAGGGCACCACCAGGAGUGGAGCCUGCGGCUUAAUUUGACUCAACACGGGGAAACUCACCCGGCCCGGACACUGUGAGGAUUGACAGAUUGAUAGCUUUUUCAUGAUUCAGUGGAUGGUGGUGCAUGGCCGUUCUUAGUUCGUGGAGUGAUUUGUCUGGUUUAUUCCGAUAACGAGCGAGACUCUAACCUACUAAAUAGUUGGUACAUACUCUUUGUGUAUACAGCUUCUUAGAGGGAUUUGCGGCGUUCAGCCGAAAGAAAUUGAGCAAUAACAGGUCUGUGAUGCCCUUAGAUGUCCGGGGCUGCACGCGCGCUACACUGGCAAAAUCAACGUGCUUGUCCUACCCUGAAAGGGGCGGGUAAACCAUUGAAAAUUUGCCGUGAUUGGGAUCGGAAAUUGCAAUUAUUUUCCGUGAACGAGGAAUUCCAAGUAAGUGCGAGUCAUCAGCUCGCGUUGAUUACGUCCCUGCCCUUUGUACACACCGCCCGUCGCUGCCCGGGACUGAGCCAUUUCGAGAAAUUUGGGGACCGUUGAUUUAAUUUAUCUAAAUUAUUUUGAUGGAAACCAAUUUAAUCGCAGUGGCUUGAACCGGGCAAAAGUCGUAACAAGGUAGCUGUAGGUGAACCUGCUGCUGGAUCAUUACUUUA